RNAcentral lists this ribosomal RNA (254 nucleotides) under uncultured prokaryote. Its description in RNAcentral is "partial 16S ribosomal RNA". It matches the Rfam family "Bacterial small subunit ribosomal RNA", at positions 525 to 777 of the family's 1533-position model. The record is from RNAcentral.
ACGUAGGGCGCGAGCGUUGUCCGGAAUUAUUGGGCGUAAAGAGCUCGUAGGCGGCUUGUUGCGUCGACUGUGAAAACCCGCGGCUCAACCGUGUGGCUUGCAGUCGAUACGGGCAGGCUAGAGUUCGGUAGGGGAGACUGGAAUUCCUGGUGUAGCGGUGAAAUGCGUAGAUAUCUGGAGGAACACCGGUGGCGAAGGCGGCAUCCUGGACCGGCAUUGACGCUGAGGCGCGAAAGCUAGGGGAGCAAACGGGA